AAAGACUUAGUCCUAACCUUACAGUUGGCUCCUGCUAGACGUAUACAUGCAAGUAUCUGCGACCCAGUGUAAAUGCCCUGAGUCUCUUGCCAAGACCAAAGGAGCAGGCAUCAGGCGCACACUACCCAAACCGUAGCCCAAGACGCCUUGCUCAGCCACACCCCCACGGGCACUCAGCAGUAACUAACAUUAAGCAAUGAGCGCAAGCUCGACUUAGUCACAGCAACCUCAGGGUUGGUAAAUCUUGUGCCAGCCACCGCGGUUACACAAGAAACCCAAGCCAACAGUCACACGGCGUAAAGAGUGGAUUAAAACCUAUCAUAAUAACUAGGAAAACCGAAACACAACUAAGCUGUCAUAAGCCCAAGAUACCCCUAAGACCAACCUAAAAACGAUCCUAGUAAGCCUGAUGGACCAAACCCCACGAAAGCUAGGGCUCAAACUGGGAUUAGAUACCCCACUAUGCCUAGCCCUAAAUCCCGAUGUACCCAAUACUAAAGCACAUCCGCCCGAGAAUUACGAGCACAAACGCUUGAAACUCUAAGGACUUGGCGGUGCCCCAAACCCACCUAGAGGAGCCUGUUCUGUAAACGACACCCCACGCUACACCCUACCACUCCUCGCCAAAAACAGCCUACAUACCGCCGUCGCCAGCUCACCCCAAUUGAGGGACUCACAGUGAGCACAAUAACCACCCCGUUAGCACGACAGGUCAAGGUAUAGCCCACGGAGUGGAAGCAAUGGGCUACAUUUUCUAAAAUAGAACACUUUUAACGGAAGGAGACAUGAAAUCGUCUCCGGAAGGCGGAUUUAGCAGUAAAGCAGGAUAACAUAAGCCUACUUUAAGCCGGCUCUGAGGCACGUACAUACCGCCCGUCACCCUCCUCACAAGCUACCAACCCCAGAUAACUAAUCCCCCACCAUAGCCAAAGAUGAGGUAAGUCGUAACAAGGUAAGUGUACCGGAAGGUGUACUUAGCAUAC
RNAcentral lists this non-coding RNA (983 nucleotides) under Falco sparverius. RNAcentral's name for it is "12S ribosomal RNA". It matches the Rfam family "Bacterial small subunit ribosomal RNA". Lineage: Eukaryota; Metazoa; Chordata; Aves; Falconiformes; Falconidae. The record is from RNAcentral.